GGGGACGUAGCUCAAUUGGUAGAGCGCAGCGCUCGCAUUGCUGAGGUUGAGGGUUCGAGUCCCUUCGUCUCCACCA
Molecule: transfer RNA, 76 nt
Filed under: Planctomycetota bacterium
Lineage: Bacteria; Pseudomonadati; Planctomycetota
Description: tRNA-Ala
Rfam family: tRNA
About the family: Transfer RNA (tRNA) molecules are approximately 80 nucleotides in length. Their secondary structure includes four short double-helical elements and three loops (D, anti-codon, and T loops). Further hydrogen bonds mediate the characteristic L-shaped molecular structure. tRNAs have two regions of fundamental functional importance: the anti-codon, which is responsible for specific mRNA codon recognition, and the 3' end, to which the tRNAs corresponding amino acid is attached (by aminoacyl-tRNA synthetases). tRNAs cope with the degeneracy of the genetic code in two manners: having more than one tRNA (with a specific anti-codon) for a particular amino acid; and 'wobble' base-pairing, i.e. permitting non-standard base-pairing at the 3rd anti-codon position.
Source: RNAcentral